UAACGGCGUCGAGCGGCGGACGGGUGAGUAAUGCCUAGGAAAUUGCCCUGAUGUGGGGGAUAACCAUUGGAAACGAUGGCUAAUACCGCAUGAUGCCUACGGGCCAAAGAGGGGGACCUUCGGGCCUCUCGCGUCAGGAUAUGCCUAGGUGGGAUUAGCUAGUUGGUGAGGUAAGGGCUCACCAAGGCGACGAUCCCUAGCUGGUCUGAGAGGAUGAUCAGCCACACUGGAACUGAGACACGGUCCAGACUCCUACGGGAGGCAGCAGUGGGGAAUAUUGCACAAUGGGCGCAAGCCUGAUGCAGCCAUGCCGCGUGUGUGAAGAAGGCCUUCGGGUUGUAAAGCACUUUCAGUCGUGAGGAAGGUAGUGUAGUUAAUAGCUGCAUUAUUUGACGUUAGCGACAGAAGAAGCACCGGCUAACUCCGUGCCAGCAGCCGCGGUAAUACGGAGGGUGCGAGCGUUAAUCGGAAUUACUGGGCGUAAAGCGCAUGCAGGUGGUUUGUUAAGUCAGAUGUGAAAGCCCGGGGCUCAACCUCGGAAUUGCAUUUGAAACUGGCAGACUAGAGUACUGUAGAGGGGGGUAGAAUUUCAGGUGUAGCGGUGAAAUGCGUAGAGAUCUGAAGGAAUACCGGUGGCGAAGGCGGCCCCCUGGACAGAUACUGACACUCAGAUGCGAAAGCGUGGGGAGCAAACAGGAUUAGAUACCCUGGUAGUCCACGCCGUAAACGAUGUCUACUUGGAGGUUGUGGCCUUGAGCCGUGGCUUUCGGAGCUAACGCGUUAAGUAGACCGCCUGGGGAGUACGGUCGCAAGAUUAAAACUCAAAUGAAUUGACGGGGGCCCGCACAAGCGGUGGAGCAUGUGGUUUAAUUCGAUGCAACGCGAAGAACCUUACCUACUCUUGACAUCCAGAGAACUUUCCAGAGAUGGAUUGGUGCCUUCGGGAACUCUGAGACAGGUGCUGCAUGGCUGUCGUCAGCUCGUGUUGUGAAAUGUUGGGUUAAGUCCCGCAACGAGCGCAACCCUUAUCCUUGUUUGCCAGCGAGUAAUGUCGGGAACUCCAGGGAGACUGCCGGUGAUAAACCGGAGGAAGGUGGGGACGACGUCAAGUCAUCAUGGCCCUUACGAGUAGGGCUACACACGUGCUACAAUGGCGCAUACAGAGGGCAGCCAACUUGCGAAAGUGAGCGAAUCCCAAAAAGUGCGUCGUAGUCCGGAUUGGAGUCUGCAACUCGACUCCAUGAAGUCGGAAUCGCUAGUAAUCGUGGAUCAGAAUGCCACGGUGAAUACGUUCCCGGGCCUUGUACACACCGCCCGUCACACCAUGGGAGUGGGC
Molecule: ribosomal RNA, 1336 nt
Filed under: Vibrio parahaemolyticus
Lineage: Bacteria; Pseudomonadati; Pseudomonadota; Gammaproteobacteria; Vibrionales; Vibrionaceae
Description: bacterial SSU rRNA
Rfam family: Bacterial small subunit ribosomal RNA
Source: RNAcentral